AUUGAACGCUGGCGGCAUGCUUUACACAUGCAAGUCGAACGGUAACAGGCCGCAAGGUGCUGACGAGUGGCGAACGGGUGAGUAAUGCAUCGGAACGUGCCCAGUCGUGGGGGGAUAACGCAGCGAAAGCUGCGCUAAUACCGCAUACGAUCUAUGGAUGAAAGCGGGGGACCGUAAGGCCUCGCGCGAUUGGAGCGGCCGAUGUCAGAUUAGGUAGUUGGUGGGGUAAAGGCUCACCAAGCCAACGAUCUGUAGCUGGUCUGAGAGGACGACCAGCCACACUGGGACUGAGACACGGCCCAGACUCCUACGGGAGGGCAGCAGUGGGGAAUUUUGGACAAUGGGCGCAAGCCUGAUCCAGCAAUGCCGCGUGCAGGAAGAAGGCCUCGGGUUGUAACUAGCUUUGUACGGGUAAGAAACGAACUACCUUCGUCGUAAGGAGCUUGACGGUACCGUAAGAAUAAGGAAUCGGCUAACUCCGUGCCAGCAGCCGCGGUAAACG
Molecule: ribosomal RNA, 502 nt
Filed under: uncultured bacterium
Lineage: Bacteria
Description: bacterial SSU rRNA
Rfam family: Bacterial small subunit ribosomal RNA
Source: RNAcentral